GGCACGGCCGCCGCCGCCGCCGCCGCCUUCUUUUCCCAGCCCGCGGAGGCCGCCGGGAGCCGGCAGUCUCGCGCUGCCGUGCGGCGGAGCGGCGGCAGCACCGCGCUGCCUGUAGGCUCCGCCAUGCCCUCACCGCCCUGCCGGCGCGGGGCCGCGGUGCCAUCGGCGAUUCUCCGCCGCGCCCUUUUUCGCGCUCUCCCCGCCCGUCCCGCCGUGCCUUCCGCUUCCGGCCGCGCCCUUCCUCUCCCACAGCGCCCCGCGCCGCGCCAUGGACCACAAUGACAAUGAUUUGCAAGGAACAAAUAGUUCAGCGUCAUUGGGUGGUCUUGAUGUUCGCAGAAGAAUCCCAAUAAAGCUGAUCUCAAAGCAGACCAAUAAAACCAAACCUGCACCUCGGGCUCCCAGAGCUAUGAACAGGAUGCCUGCAAAGACACAAGCUGGGGAUGAAGAAGAAUUUGAUUUCAAUGAAGAGGAGCGAUACGAAUGCAAAGGAGGUGAAAUGUUUGGAAAUCAAAGGAGAUUCCCCGGACCCAUAUUUUGGGACUAUAAGAUAAACUUGCUGGGGGAGAAGGAUGAUACGCCCGUCCAUUUCUGCGAUAAGUGUGGGUUGCCCAUCAAAAUGUAUGGGCGCAUGAUACCUUGCAAGCAUGUUUUCUGCUAUGACUGUGCUAUACUACAUGAGAAGAAGGGAGACAAGAUGUGUCCUGGCUGUAACGAACCUGUCCAGCGCAUCGAGCAGUGUGUGCGAGGGUCUCUCUUCAUGUGCAGUAUAGUCCAAGGGUGCAAGAGAACUUACCUGUCACAGAGAGACUUACAGGCUCACAUCAACCACCGCCAUAUGAGAGCUGGAAAGCCUGUGACUCGUCCUCCUCUUGAACCCGUGCAUCCUCCCAUUGCCCCUCCGCCUGCUGAGAUCCCGGAGCGUUUCAUAAUGCCUCCAGAGAAACACCACAUGAGCCACAUUCCGCCGAAGCAGCACAUCAUGAUGCCGCCGCCUCCCUUACAGCACGUGCCGCACGAGCAUUACAACCAGCCGCACGAAGACAUCCGCCCGCCUCCUGCCGAGAUGUCCAUGGCUCCGCCGCCGCCUCGCCCGGUCAGUCAGGACACCUUCCGCAUCUCUACGAGAAAACACAGCAACUUGAUAACCGUCCCUAUUCAGGAUGAUUCGAAUUCGGGUGCUCGAGAACCACCUCCGCCCGCCCCGGCACCUGCUCAUCAUCACCCCGAGUAUCAGGGCCAACCGGUGGUAACGCACCCGCACCACAUUAUGCCUCCGCAGCAACAUUAUGCGCCGCCCCCCCCUCCGCCUCCUCCAAUAAGCCAUCCUCUGCAGCAUCCUCCCCAGGCGGCAGGCACACCUCACAUGGUGUAUAGCCAAGCUCCUCCGCCGCCAAUGACCUCUGCUCCUCCUCCGAUAACCCCGCCGCCUGGACAUAUCAUUGCCCAGAUGCCGCCGUAUAUGAAUCAUCCUCCUCCGGGACCUCCCCCCCCUCAGCAUGGAGGCCCUCCCGUAAAUGUCAGUGCCCCCCCUCCCCAUCACUAUAACCCUAACUCUUUGCCACAGUUCAGUGAAGAUCAAGGAACUCUUAGUCCCCCUUUCACGCAGCCAGGGGGCAUGAGUCCAGGGAUUUGGCCGGCUCCCAGAGGGCCGCCUCCACCUCCGAGGAUGCAGGGGCCUCCUGCUCAGGCCCCUCUUGCUGGACCUCACCACCCCGAUCAAGCCAGAUACAGACCCUAUUACCAGUGAUCUCAGCAAUUGUACAAAUAGAGAGCGCUAUGAAGAGGAUAAAACUAUAUACAGCAGCCUUUUAAUUAAUUGUAUGGGGGUUGUUUUGUUUUUUUUAAAUACUGUCAUUUUGACUGUAAGACGUUUUGGGGUUUGAAUCUUUAAUGAUUUUUAAGCCUUGGCUGUAGGACUCUGACUUCAAAUAUUCUGUAGUGCUAAAAUAAGUGGCUUAGUAGACCACAGUUGCAUUUUAACUGAACUUCUGUCUAUAGUGUGGCUAAUUGUCCUAAGAUGAACACUUGUAAUAUCACUUUCUGGAGAAAAUGAACAUGUGUUGUACCAUUCUGAAUAUUGUUUUUGUUUAAAUCCAAUGUUUAGUUUUCACUUGUGAUACAUUUUUGUUAACCUGUGUACAAUAAUUAAAUUGAACUAUGGUUGUAAAAGUGGUGGGCUUUUAUGUGAAGUUAACACAGACACGGUUCCUGGACACUGUUUUGGCUCUAGAAUUUCCCACAUGGGAAGCAUAAUGAAAUAGUUAGGAAACUUAAUUUUUUUUUUACUAACAUAUGCUGCUACUUAUAAUGAAUUCAGGCUAUGGUGCAUUUGUGGCACUGGUAAGCAGGCAUGUGAAUGCUGCAUUUCAGGUGGUGGGGAUUUUUUUGUAGUUGUUUUUAAAAUCCAUAUCAAAAGCAAGAUAAAUUUAUCGGAAAUCCAGACACCUUAUAAUGUGGAUAUAGGGUUGUUCUGCUUGUAUUUGGGUGUGGUUUUUUUUUUGUUGUUGUUGUUAUUUUUCCAGGCUAGAUUUGUUUCAGAAAAUUUUGUUCACAGAUACUCCUCACUGGUGUUGAAUUCAGACUAUUCUAUUUCUCUGUGGUUCUUUUUGCAUGAAGAUAGCCAAGAAUGGGCUUGCUAGGUCUGUGAGGAAAAGCAGGUUAGUUCUGGUGAAGUGGUGUUAACCUCAGUCACUUCAUACAGCAUGUGUAGUAGGAACACUUUCCAUUUGAAUGCAGGAAAUAAAGGGCCAGCAAUCCCUUAAAUAGAUACAAGAAAAUAACAAUAAAAGCUACACAUCCUUGAUCUAUUUCUAUUUUGUGAUACAGGCUGAAUUGGACAGUCAACAGGUGGUUUGGCUUAAAGAUUGCAAUGUAUGCAGACUCUCAGGGCUGUUUUGGCCCAUUUGGUUUUUACAUUUACAACCCACAUUUGGUUUUUACAAGCACACUUGCAUAUAGUGACUAUGAGAUGUGAAUGUUCUCUGUCAUUGCAAUUGGAAUCUGAACCCAACUGAUAAAAAGUGUGGCCUGUUUGAAAUGCUUAUCUGCAUUUCCAAUCAGUGUUGUGCUGACCCUGUGGGUUAGUUCCGCUUUGUUUUGGAUUGGUUUGGUUUUGUCUUUGUUUUUCUUCCAAAUGCCACAUUUCUAGCAGCGGUGCUUCUAGAUGAUGAAAUCCAGUGUUGUGUUUUUGGUUGUUUUUCUACGGUUUGUCAUUUCCUGCGUUUCUCAAAUAAGAUGAACCAUCUUCAAAGCCUGAAUCUUGCGAUUUAUUUGGUAAAACUUUCUUCAAAGUUUUCUUUUAUCAAAGGGCUCUGGCAAUACAACAUCCGUAAUUCUGUAGUUUUGUGUGUAAAGUGUGUAUUUUUAAUUACUUGAGCGAAUGUUCUUUAGAUUUGUUCUGUUUGUGACUGCCAUAGGUUUCCUUGUGUCCACAGGCAAAUCUUUUGGACUACCCUUCAAAGAAAUAGAGCAGCACAACACAGCUUUAGGGAUGUGCAAGUAAAUUCUGGGGUGUGCAGAUGGCAGUAAGUGUCAUUCAACACAAAUUUAACAGAAAAUCAUAAAACCAAGACACACACUUUUAACUUUGAGAAAUAAGUUGUUUCAAAUAAGCAAAGAAAAGGCUGGUUGUGGCAGUGUCCUACAGGAUGCAGCUGGAUGAAAACUGUAUGCUUUAGUGUGUAUGAAGGGGAAAAUGGCUGCUUAUUUUGUUUCAGUAGCUCAUAAAAAGCAGGAGGAACAUUUCAGCACCCUUGAAAUGAAUGGCAUUGUGUGUUUUUGCUAGAUACUACGUUGUCUUGUGCAACAGAUGGAGGUUUCCUCCCUGGGUCCAAGCUCUUCUAUGCAAAUACUGAUGUAGUUCAGAGGUGAAGGAGAACAGCUGCCCUUACUCCAUCAGAAAGCACAAAAGGUAAGUGUGUACCACUGCAGAAGAUGUGUGAGAAUUUUGGGGUCUUGUUUAUAUUUGAGACAAAGGUGACCCCAAAAUAUGACUGAAUUAUUACCCCCCAAAAUGAGUAGGACACCUUGAAUUGUUUGGUGAGUUGAAAGUCUCUGAGAACUUACCUGAACAGUCAUCUCCUGCAGCAGGAUUUGGACUUGAGUCAAACUUCUGUGUGCUGCUUGCAUCAGAGGGCCUACAUCUGUUUUGUAUUUACAUCUUGAAGCCUUAGGGUUCCCCAUAGAGCUACGGGAACUGUUGAUACUUCUAUACGUACAAAGUCAAAAGAUUUCAGCAUGGGUUAACAAUCUUUCUGUGUGGUUUUUGGGGGGAAUUCUUUUUCAAAUCCCUGGUGGUUUUCUCUUCAUCUUCAGAAAUUGCGUACGCAUUAUUUCAUUGUAUGAUUAACAGCCUUAGAAGUGCUGAGAUGUACCUUCAAAUCCUAUGGGUUCCCAGUGGGGCCUUCCUUAAAGGCAAAUGUUUGGAUUGUGUUGGUUUUGUUGGUUUUGUACUCUGUCAGUGGCAACAAUCUCACUCCCGGGCUGUUACCAAGCAGAUCUUUGUUCUAAGGCAGCUCUGAUGGCUUUAGAACGUGUUAGCUAUUGUAGGGCAGUGUGAUAAUGCCAUUAUAGGGAAUGAAGAGUUUCUUGGUUUGUGUUCACCAUGGGAUGAAGUAAAGAACACCAGAAGUGGCCUGAAGCCAUCCAUGGUUCCAGAUUCUUGCUUCCUUAGAAUUUCUCUUCAAUUGUCUCUAAUUCUGCUUAAAGGAUUGUCUGCACCCAUGCAUGAUUUACAAAUGCUCUCAAUUAUGUGGCCACGUACUUUGGGGUUUGGUUUGGUUUUUUGAGAAUGCUGUUAACAUAAAGGUUGGUGCCUGCAUGUGUUACAUGAUGUUUUUCCUUUUAAGAAAUGAAAAUGAAACACGGUAUCUGUUCUAGAUCCGAUCCAAGAGAGUUAGAUAUCCAUUCUGUAUGGGGUUCCCCCCUUCUUUUCACUUAUUGCUCUCUAAGGAGCACUGAACUCAGUUCGUUUAAAAAUGAAGUGGAAUUAAUUGGUGUUCAUUUCACAUUGGAGUUUGCCCACACAAUGGCUUCUGUGCUGGGGAAGGCCAGGCGCUUACAGGAGCCAGACUGAACAAAUGCCUUCUCUCAGGAUUGUAUCUGAACACACCUCUCUCCUUACAGUGUUUCCUGCUCUGCUAAACUUGUGUCAGGUGCUGUGCUGCUUCUCUCUGGAUGCACUGCAAUGUUGUUGACAAAAAAAAAGUACAUAUUUGCAUAGAAAAAUCCUACUGUGCCUUAGAAACUGGGAACUACAGUGGAAUUGCCACUUAAUAUUAAAUGUAUAGAAAGUGAGUCUGAGCUUUCUGUCUGUGAUUCUCCUGUAUGCACAGGAUCGUGCAAAUUAUGAGUUUUUUUGUCUCGAUUUCAUUUCUAAAGAAGUGUUGGUGUCACACAAUGUGUUCUACUCUACGGUGCUACAGACAAUUCUUAGCCACUGCUAAGGCAUCUUUACAUGGUAACAGUGCUUCCCCUGAGCAUGCUGCUCAGGUGUGUGCAUGGGAACUGCUGAGUCAUGGCCUGAACCUCUGAUUGAUCACCUGAGGCGAGCCAUGAGUCAGCCAGAGGAGCACAGCUGAAGGCAAUUCACCUGUGCUGCUGGAAGGAGUGGAGCCAGGCUCCACCCCUCCUGGACCUAUUUAACAGCUGGCUACCAGAGGGGAAGGAUCUCUUCUGGAGAUCACCUCUCUUGGUGUUUUGUGGUGAGCUCAGCCAAAGGGUGUGUUACUGUCUCAUUCUGUCAGAAGACAAGCCCUGUUCUGACAGCCUAUGUCUCUUUGAAGGCUGCAUUGGAAAGGCAAUUGAGUGACAUUCUGACCUCAGUUUUC
Molecule: RNA transcript, 5831 nt
Organism: Lagopus muta (rock ptarmigan)
Lineage: Eukaryota; Metazoa; Chordata; Aves; Galliformes; Phasianidae
Gene: CBLL1
Gene name: Cbl proto-oncogene like 1
Exons: 7
Source: RefSeq, a predicted model, not a curated record